GCAUUCAUUACAAAUCGUGUCCACAGCCCGCUUCCCAGCUUCCAACUUCCACCUCCAGGGGAGGACUGGGGGCUGGAGAUUGCAUUAAUUUCCAAUGGCCAGUGGUUUAAUCAAUCAUGACUAAGUAAUGAGCCUCCGUAAAAACCAGAGCUUCCGGUCUGGUGAACACACGGAGGUCCUGGAAAUGGUGGCGCGCCCAGAGGGCAUGGAAGCUCCGCGCCCCUUCCCACAGACCUUGUCCCGUGCAUCGCUUCCAUCCGGCUCUUCCUGAGUUCUGGCCCUUGUAGUAAACCUGCAGUCUUGAUCAAUUUUCUCUCAGGAGGCUCUUCAUUGACUCAUGCAAACAGAUUUCUGGCGGGAACUGCUCCAAGGCCUUCCAGAUGUGCACAGGCAUGGAUGAAUCAGAGCAGAAGUGGACAGAUGUAGCUCAAAUGGAGGGUUCUGCUAUAAUCUCAAUAAGUAUCCAGGCUGGAGUGCAGUGGCGCGAUCUCGGCUCACUGAAACCUCUGCCUCCCAGGUUCAAGCGAUUCUCCUGCCUCAGCCUCUCGAAUAGCUGGGAUUACAGGCAACUACCAUUUUUCCCCCUCUGUCUUUUGAUGUUCACCUGACAAGCUCCUGGUGGUAGCCGGUAGCUCUGACAGAGAGCAAAAGAAAUAAGGGGCGGUUUUAGCUGAUAACCUCACCAGUCUUCACUUCGGCUCUUCCUUCGCUGCCCCUUCAGCUGCGGGGAACUUGCUCUAGGGCAUCUUGGCAGGAGGGAGGGCGUCUGAGGGUACUGGUGCCUGCAGACUUCAAGCACGGAGAGACUUCUUGAAGCGGUGCUGCCUGGCCACUUGGAAAAAGGUGGAUUAAUUUGGGGAUAUCCGAGGAGCCCCAGAGGGCCAUUGUAAUUCAAGAUCUUCAGUAAACUUCUGCCGCGGAGAAAGAACCCGGCCAGUAUUGGGACCAUCGUGGUGACGCAGGAUUGGAGGAACAGGGGUUUCGGUUGACUGAGAAGUUCCUGUGAGAGAAACAGGCUCAAAUAGAGAGAAUAGAAAGAUGUCGUGAGGAGCCAGGAAACAAAAUUUUCCAGGGGUCAGGGAAUGAAUUCUAAUCAGAACAAGGAGCCAGCAAGAACUUCCAGCCUAGGAGGUACUUUUCAAAAGAAGCCUGGGACUCUAACCCAGCUUCUGAGAGUAUACUCAGAAUUGUUAAGAAUCAGGCAGGGCGCGGCGGCUCAUGCCUGUAAUCCCAGCACUUUGGGAGGCUGAGGCGGGUGGAUCACUUGAGGUCCGGAGUGUGAGAUCAGCCUGACUAACAAGAUGAAACCCCAUCUCUACUAAAAAAAUACAAAAUUAGCUGGGCGUCGUAGCGCAUGCCUGUAAUCCCAGCUACUUGGGAGGCUGAGGCAGGAGAAUUGCUUGAACCCAGGAGGUGGAGGUUGCAGUGAGCCAAGAUCGCGCCCUUGCACUCCAGCCUGGGCAACAAGAGUGAAACUCUGCCUCGGAGGGAAAAAAAAAAAAAAA
Molecule: non-coding RNA, 1505 nt
Filed under: Homo sapiens (human)
Lineage: Eukaryota; Metazoa; Chordata; Mammalia; Primates; Hominidae
Source: RNAcentral